AUACAUAUUUUUGCAUUUUGAAGCACACAAUGCAUGUUAUAGCACCAGUCUGAAGUAAAUACUGGGGCAUCAUCUGCUACAGUGGAAUCCCUCUAUUGUUUGCUCCUUAUCUCAAAAGACUGGGAAAAAUUUUAGAUUUAAUUGACCUUGACUUCAUGCAAGACCUAAUGAACCAUCUCAAAGUACUUGUUUCUGAUGGUAGAAACUCAGGCAACAAUUCUAAGAAGUGUCCAAAAUUUUUAUUGUGACCGAACGUCUCCAAUGUUGUAUUGUUGCUUUUAAAGUGAUGAGGAGUAAUCUUGAUGCUCUGAAUGUUAAUUUGCAAGACUUCUUCGUCCAUCUUUACAGUCUUAUACUUGAAUACAGGCCUGGAAGGUAAAGGAGCUUCUAGACUGGCUUGAGCUUCCAGUGAGUGUGAUCAUCGGGUGUGUGGAGUUGCGGUGGCCCGUAGCCAUUGCAAAGCAAAGGAAUAUUUCGGCGGUUGUAUUUUUGACUAUGUCAGCGUCAUUUUACAUAAUGUUGCAUCACCGCAUGUGUUUACACAACAACAAAAUUUGUUGGCUACUACUCUAGGUUCAUAAGGCAAGUAUUGGAUGGAAAAAGUGAAGAAAAAAGCAUGCAAAGUGGAGAAUUCAUGAGGAAAUGAGGAUUUGCUAAAUUGAAGGCCACGCGCACCCGUCACCCCACGCGUACGCGUGAGGAGGGAAUUUGACAAGUGAUGCGCACGUGUCGACCACGCACAUGCGUGACACUGAUCACGUGACCUCAUUAAAGGCAAUACGCUGGAGGCAAUUUCUGAGCCAACAAGGCCCAAAUCCAACUCAUUUCUGAGGCUAUUUGAUGCAGAAUUGAAGAUGGGACAAAGGGGGAGCAAUUAGUUAGGUUAGAAUCAUGCUUUAGGUAGUUUUCUAGAGAGAGAAGCUCCCUCUUCUCUCUAUAAUUAGGGUAGAUUUAGGGUAGAUUCUUCUUAGACUUAGGUUUAAUUCUUGUUUUCAUCUACUUUUUCUUGCAAUU
Molecule: non-coding RNA, 1014 nt
Organism: Arachis ipaensis
Lineage: Eukaryota; Viridiplantae; Streptophyta; Magnoliopsida; Fabales; Fabaceae
Source: RefSeq, a predicted model, not a curated record